CGGCGGACGGGUGAGUAACGCGUGGGCAACCUGCCUUACACAGGGGGAUAACAGUUAGAAAUGACUGCUAAUACCGCAUAAGACCACAGUACUGCAUGGUACAGUGGUAAAAACUCCGGUGGUGUAAGAUGGGCCCGCGUCUGAUUAGGUAGUUGGCGGGGUAACGGCCCACCAAGCCGACGAUCAGUAGCCGACCUGAGAGGGUGACCGGCCACAUUGGGACUGAGACACGGCCCAGACUCCUACGGAAGGCAGCAG
Molecule: ribosomal RNA, 258 nt
Filed under: uncultured bacterium
Lineage: Bacteria
Description: partial 16S ribosomal RNA
Rfam family: Bacterial small subunit ribosomal RNA
Source: RNAcentral